GACGAGUGCGUCCCGGCAAGAGGCUGGGCUCGACGGCCGGGUGAUGUGGAGAGGGACGAUCGAGAAGAGGCCCGAGACGGACGGGAGGAGGAAGCCCGGAAAGUGAGGCGGCUAGCUGAGUGCGGAGCGCCAAGUUGUAGGGAAACCGGAGACGGAGACCUCCGCUGAGGGGCAGAACCUGGUCCCCAGCCGGAGGCCCUGAAAGAAGGAGCGUUUCCAAAGCUCCCUGAAACAACAGUAACCUACCCC
Molecule: non-coding RNA, 249 nt
Filed under: Pan troglodytes (chimpanzee)
Lineage: Eukaryota; Metazoa; Chordata; Mammalia; Primates; Hominidae
Also listed under: 1 other name
Source: RNAcentral